GGAAUAUUGCGCAAUGGGCGAAAGCCUGACGCAGCGACGCCGCGUGAGGGAUGACGGCCUUCGGGUUGUAAACCUCUUUCAGCAGGGAAGAAGCGAAAGUGACGGUACCUGCAGAAGAAGCACCGGCUAACUACGUGCCAGCAGCCGCGGUAAUACGUAGGGUGCAAGCGUUGUCCGGAAUUAUUGGGCGUAAAGAGCUCGUAGGCGGUCUGUCGCGUCGGAUGUGAAAAUCCAGGGCUCAACCCUGGACCUGCAUUCGAUACGGGCAGACUAGAGUUCGGUAGGGGAGACUGGAAUUCCUGGUGUAGCGGUGAAAUGCGCAGAUAUCAGGAGGAACACCGGUGGCGAAGGCGGGUCUCUGGGCCGAUACUGACGCUGAGGAGCGAAAGCGUGGGGAGCAAAC
RNAcentral lists this ribosomal RNA (403 nucleotides) under uncultured bacterium. RNAcentral's name for it is "bacterial SSU rRNA". It matches the Rfam family "Bacterial small subunit ribosomal RNA", at positions 358 to 773 of the family's 1533-position model. The record is from RNAcentral.